CUCCAGUUAGCCUAGUGGUUAAAGCUACGGAUCGCCAAUCCGAAAACGGCGGGCUCGAUUCCCGUUCUGGUCA
Aedes albopictus (Asian tiger mosquito) is the source of this 73-nucleotide non-coding RNA. The record is from Rfam. NCBI's taxonomy places the organism in Eukaryota, Metazoa, Arthropoda, Insecta, Diptera, Culicidae.